This 139-nucleotide ribosomal RNA is filed under the name Pteropus alecto (black flying fox). Lineage: Eukaryota; Metazoa; Chordata; Mammalia; Chiroptera; Pteropodidae. The record is from RNAcentral.
UUCUACGGCCGUGCUGCCCUAAACAAGCCUGAUCCCAUCUGAUCUCGGAAGCUAAGCAGGGUCCUCAGAAGCUAAGCAGGAUCGGACCUGGUUAGUACUUGGAUGGGAGACCACCUAGGAAGACCAGGUGCUGUAGGCG